This is an RNA transcript of Oncorhynchus kisutch (coho salmon), 1574 nucleotides long. It is a transcript of the gene named polymeric immunoglobulin receptor-like, with no coding region annotated. Lineage: Eukaryota; Metazoa; Chordata; Actinopteri; Salmoniformes; Salmonidae. The transcript is spliced from 8 exons. The record is from RefSeq and is a predicted model, not a curated record.
AUUCUGGCUGGUGCCUUGGUCCUUGAAACACAUUUGUGCUCAGGUACCAUUUAACAUAAGAGGCAGAUUCUAACUCUCACAUGGCUCUUCAUCCCUCCCUCCUCCUCCUACUCCUCAUCUUCGACAGAAUCUCAGCAGCGAGGCAUGUGUCUGUGCAGACUGGAGGCUCCAUCACCUUCCCAUGUAGCUAUGAUCUGAAUCACAUCAACCAUGUGAAAUACUGGUGUCAAAGCUUAGGUUGGGAUGUAUGUUCUUAUGUAGUACGUACUGACCAUCCUAAGAGCAGUGGUAAGACCUCAAUCUCUGAUGACAUCAACAAGAGAAUCUUCACCGUGAUCAUGACUGACCUGGUGUCAAGGGACUCUAAUACUUACAGGUGUGUUGUGGAGAUCAAUGGAGGAACAGAUUUCAUGAUACAAAGGUUCUACCUGUCUGUCACUCCAGGUACUCCAGAACUCUAUGUGGAACAACAGGAAGUGUCUGGAGUAGAAGGAGGGAGUGUCACUGUCUGUUGUUACUAUAGUAACUCUGGAGACAUGAAGUGGUGCAGGAUGGGUGGUGAUUGUGUGAGUGGGUUUUCUGGGACUUUAAAUGGAACAUCAGUGACAUUAACGCGGACUAGUGAUGCCAACAACAGAACAGUCUUUACAGUGACUAUGAGUGGACUGAAGAUGGAGAACACUGACUGGUAUUGGUGUAGAGUUGGAGAACUAGAGAUGCCUGUUCAUAUCACUGUCAGUCAACAAACUGCAACACAGAGAACCUCUAAGAUGACCUCAACAACCCAAGAUCCAACCCCUCAACAACCCUCUGCCUCUCCAACUGCUGAGCCUGUUCAGACUGACAACACAAGUCAAGGAGAUGAGGGGAACAUGGAGGAAGUCCACCAGAGGUCCAUAGAUGUGAAAGUCCUACUCAUCUCUCUGGGCAUGUUGGUGGUGGUGACAGCUGGUAUCCUAGUAACAUGGAAGAUGUGGAGAAGGCAUAAGGACAAUAAGGCCAAGGACCAGACAACAAACAACUCAGUGAGCCCAAACCCAGGGAGCCACCAUGACGUGAUGUACAGCACUGUGAUGCCUGAUCAGUUCAGGACAGAAGAGAAGGUCAACUUAUGGCUACAAGCAUCUCGGCUCUUAGACAACAUUAUUGCUGUUACUCAUGAAGCGUCAUAGCCUUGGCAAAUAUGCAUCUGUUUAGAAAACAAUUGUAUUUCCAGUAUCACUUUCUGUCUUGGAACAAGCAAUAGGUAAAUGUACACUAUAUAACAGUAUAACAACACAUUUUUGUUAUUUGGGUGUCUCCCUACCAACAGGAUCCAUUUCCUGAAGCUGAUGAUGAUGUCACAUACAGCACUGUCAUCCUCCAGCACAAGACCCAACUAAAAGGACAGACCAAGAGGGCAGCAGCAGCACAGUAGUGACUGACUGAGAAGACCUUCCUUUUACUGGAAGGACAGAACACUCCCCUCUCCUGUGUCACAACAUCUAUCUGCCUCCAAUAUGAUUCUGUCAUACCUCUUAACCCAUCCCAGGAAGACACCUCUAUCCUUUAGUGUAAUAAACUACUGAAGGCAG